Molecule: ribosomal RNA, 1231 nt
Organism: Drosophila sechellia
Lineage: Eukaryota; Metazoa; Arthropoda; Insecta; Diptera; Drosophilidae
Rfam family: Eukaryotic small subunit ribosomal RNA
Source: Rfam
AUUCUGGUUGAUCCUGCCAGUAGUUAUAUGCUUGUCUCAAAGAUUAAGCCAUGCAUGUCUAAGUACACACGAAUUAAAAGUGAAACCGCAAAAGGCUCAUUAUAUCAGUUAUGGUUCCUUAGAUCGUUAACAGUUACUUGGAUAACUGUGGUAAUUCUAGAGCUAAUACAUGCAAUUAAAACAUGAACCUUAUGGGACAUGGGAUUUUAUUAGGCUAAAACCAAGCGAUCGCAAGAUCGUUAUAUUGGUUGAACUCUAGGUAACAUGCAGAUCGUAUGGUCUUGUACCGACGACAGAUCUUUCAAAUGUCUGCCCUAUCAACUUUUGAUGGUAGUAUCUAGGACUACCAUGGUUGCAACGGGUAACGGGGAAUCAGGGUUCGAUUCCGGAGAGGGAGCCUGAGAAACGACUACCACAUCUAAGGAAGGCAGCAGGCGCGUAAAUUACCCACUCCCAGCUCGGGGAGGUAGUGACGAAAAAAUAACAAUACAGGACUCAUAUCCGAGGCCCUGUAAUUGAAAUGAGUACACUUUAAAUCCUUAACAAGGACCAAUUGGAGGGCAAGUCUGGUGCCAGCAGCCGCGGUAAUUCCAGCUCCAAUAGCGUAUAUUAAAGUUGUUGCGGUUAAAACGUUCGUAGUUGAACUUGUGCUUCAUACGGGUAGUACAACUUACAAUUGUGGUUAGUACUAUACCUUUAUGUAUGUAAGCGUAUUACCGGUGGAGUUCUUAUAUGUGAUUAAAUACUUGUAUUUUUUCAUAUGUUCCUCCUAUUUAAAAACCUGCACUAGUGCUCUUAAACGAGUGUUAUUGUGGGCCGGUACUAUUACUUUGAACAAAUUAGAGUGCUUAAAGCAGGCUUCAAAUGCCUGAAUAUUCUGUGCAUGGGAUAAUGAAAUAAGACCUCUGUUCUGCUUUCAUUGGUUUUCAGAUCAAGAGGUAAUGAUUAAUAGAAGCAGUUUGGGGGCAUUAGUAUUACGACGCGAGAGGUGAAAUUCUUGGACCGUCGUAAGACUAACUUAAGCGAAAGCAUUUGCCAAAGAUGUUUUCAUUAAUCAAGAACGAAAGUUAGAGGUUCGAAGGCGAUCAGAUACCGCCCUAGUUCUAACCAUAAACGAUGCCAGCUAGCAAUUGGGUGUAGCUACUUUUAUGGCUCUCUCAGUCGCUUCCCGGGAAACCAAAACUUUUGGGCUCCGGGGGAAGUAUGGUGCAAAGCUGAAACUAAAGGAGAA